UAAAAACCCACAUGCGGUCCACCC
Molecule: non-coding RNA, 24 nt
Filed under: Arabidopsis thaliana (thale cress)
Lineage: Eukaryota; Viridiplantae; Streptophyta; Magnoliopsida; Brassicales; Brassicaceae
Source: RNAcentral